This is a long non-coding RNA of Trifolium pratense (red clover), 826 nucleotides long. RefSeq lists it as uncharacterized. NCBI's taxonomy places the organism in Eukaryota, Viridiplantae, Streptophyta, Magnoliopsida, Fabales, Fabaceae. The transcript is spliced from 3 exons. The record is from RefSeq and is a predicted model, not a curated record.
GACAUAAACAUUAUAAAUGGUUUUUACCGUAUAAAAUGAUCAACACAUUUAAUAUCUGUUACAUACAAAGGUGAAAAAAAUGGCUGAAACUCUCAAGAUUGUUUAUAUUAUGAUGCUUUUGUUUUCUCUAAUUCUCAUUAUAAGAGCUGAUCCACCUCCACAAACAUGUUUGACUAGGAAAGAUUGCAACAGGGUUUUUCCUAUCAAUGCCAAUGGUCAACCCAUGAUAUCUUAUCGACCCUUGUGCUUAGCUGGUCGUUGUAUCGAUUUGGCAAAUUUGAGCAUGGAUCCUUAAAACAAGAUUAAAAUAGUACUUUCAGGUGUUUGUUCACAAUAGAGAGGAUUGAGAUGAUUGGAUCAUCUCCUUCACUCUCCUCUCCAUCUCUCUCAAUCCUCUUUAUUUUUCUCUUAAUUUCAAUCUCUCUCUUCAAUAAAAAAAUUUAAAAUAAUAAUGAGAGAGAGUGAGAUUAAGAGAGAGAUAGAGAGGAUUGAGAGAGAUGGAAAGGAGAGUGAAUGUGAAGGAGAGGAUCCAAAUCCCAAGAAUAAAGUGCAUCAUUAUUCUCUCACCUAUGCUAUGAUGUUUCUUAAAGUUUAUUUUGGAUUAUUUUGUAAGUUUCAAUUGUGUUGUAAGACUUUGAUUUUGUUGCAUCAGGGUUAGGUUUAAUAAUAUGGUCUUGACUUAUUUCGUUGGAUCGUAAAAAAAAAAUAUGUAUGUUAUUCAUUUUAAGGAUAAUUGUAAGGUUCUAUGGAGUCAAAAUACUAUAUUCAAUAUUGUAUAAUUUAUGUAUUUCACAUAAUAUUUUAUUACCAUUUUUAAUUUAAUUUA